Molecule: ribosomal RNA, 222 nt
Filed under: Triticum aestivum (bread wheat)
Lineage: Eukaryota; Viridiplantae; Streptophyta; Magnoliopsida; Poales; Poaceae
Description: partial small subunit ribosomal RNA
Source: RNAcentral
AUGGCACGCACACAAAGCAGGAGGAAAUCGGUACCCCGCGAGGCUGGCGAAGUCGGCACAAGAAGUAGGCGGAGUAGAGGCAGCAGUUGCGGGCUCAGGUGCGGCAAUCGCAAUCAAUAUUCCCGUCUGGGGUUGGCGGAGUUGGUAGAAAGCACGGUUGGCGAUAAGCUGGUACUAGUUUCAUUCUUUCUAUUCCAAAAUCCAAUACCCGGAACUGACUAG